CCGACUUUAGCUCAGUUGGUAGAGCGCAAGACUGUAAUGGAUAUCCAAUCUUGAUGCCGCCUGUUCGAUCCAGGCAAGUCGGA
This 83-nucleotide transfer RNA is filed under the name Termitomyces sp. T159_Od127. RNAcentral describes it as "tRNA-Tyr". It matches the Rfam family "tRNA". From Rfam's summary of the family: Transfer RNA (tRNA) molecules are approximately 80 nucleotides in length. Their secondary structure includes four short double-helical elements and three loops (D, anti-codon, and T loops). Lineage: Eukaryota; Fungi; Basidiomycota; Agaricomycetes; Agaricales; Lyophyllaceae. The record is from RNAcentral.